Vicia faba (fava bean) is the source of this 285-nucleotide non-coding RNA. The record is from the annotation of a GenBank genome assembly. NCBI's taxonomy places the organism in Eukaryota, Viridiplantae, Streptophyta, Magnoliopsida, Fabales, Fabaceae.
AUGACAAUUUUGUAUGCUACAAGGUGUGAUUCAAGUUUCCAUGCUAAGCUUAAGGUUACAUCAGUUUUACACAAAUUAUAUGACCUAAGUCAUGCUUCUGCAAGUACACUUCAUGGUCUACAUCUUUGUAAAUUCUUCGACGCCACAAGUUUCACGUUGGCCUCAGUUUGUCUUCUUCUUCAAACCCUUAUCAUUCAUGUUAUCUCAUCCUUUAUGCACUCACCAUUGUUGCCAUCACAUGAAACAAGGCAAAGUAAACACAAAAUUGUUAGUAAGAAAUCAUAA